AAUGUGUCUGCCAGGAUGUCCAGC
This 24-nucleotide non-coding RNA is filed under the name Cricetulus griseus (Chinese hamster). The record is from RNAcentral. Lineage: Eukaryota; Metazoa; Chordata; Mammalia; Rodentia; Cricetidae.